RNAcentral lists this long non-coding RNA (230 nucleotides) under Elaeis guineensis (African oil palm). RNAcentral describes it as "long non-coding RNA (EGUI_LNC067400)". The record is from RNAcentral. Lineage: Eukaryota; Viridiplantae; Streptophyta; Magnoliopsida; Arecales; Arecaceae.
GGUCAAGGAUUCUCUAGAUUAAUUACAAUAGUUGUAGUUGGUCAAGUCCAUGUCUUUAAUGAGAACCAAAUGGGCUUGAUUCUUGGCUAAGCGGUCUAGCAUGAACUGUUAGGUUGAUCUAAUCGAAACUAAUUAAACCAGUUGGUGUCUAAGGUAAACCAGACUGGUAGUUUUUAAUUGGCAGCCCGCUUACCUGACCAUUUCUGAUGGUGUCUAAGGCAAGCUUUGGC